CGUAUCAUGACUCUUUUUGGACGUCACCACAUAAAAAAGUCAACACAAGAUGUCAAAACAGCCAAAACUGUCAGGUGCCCAGGGAAGAAAAAAGAGAAAAGAAGAGGAGGAGAAACAAGAAAAAGACAGAAUUCUAAGUAACAGGAAGGGGCUGCUACCAGAGCCCAACCUAGCUCAGCUGUUGACCAGUAUGACAAAUCCUGCAGCCUUGCAAAUCCUCAUGAGACCUUUUUACACUGGGAAAAGAGGAGUGUCCUGCAAAACAGUGCAAAUUGUGAGACUGUGAGUCCACUUGGGUCACGGGAUUAUCAGUUGGAAGGCACAGUUCUGAGCACUUCUCGCAGGUCUGAAAAAAUGUGUCGAUACGGAGCGAUAUAAGACCUUGAUACAGUUGUCAGCCAGUCUUCAGCAGCGAGGCGCACGGUCCUGGGGGUCGGCCUCGCGGCCAAAGAGACUCUUGAGGAAGACCAGCUGCAGGUAACCCGAGACCACCACCAGGAGGCUGAGCGCCGCCGACCACCAGGUGACGUAGCGGGCGUUGGACAUCAGCAGGUAGUAGUCGGCGCUCUUCCUCAUGCGGCCGAAGUUGUAGUAGCGAAACAUGUGGAAGACGUGGUUCUCCACCUUGUGGGCGGAGUCCUGAAACGAGAGCCAAUUAGUCUCCGCCCCCCUUUUCUGCCGGUGUCCGGGUGUGGCGCGAGAACCUGGAUGAUGCUCAGCGUGUCGUUCAGCCGCUCGGACGCGUCGUCUUUCUUCACGCCGCCGCCGCCCUCGCCCUCGCCGUCCGGGCGGUGCUCGUCGUAGUAGACGCCGAAGCUGAGGAACACCUGCAUUGUUCCCAAGCGGUUGUGGAAGUUGCUGAAACACAUCUGGUAGAAACCUGGGGUGAGAGAAA
Long non-coding RNA from Entelurus aequoreus (snake pipefish), 895 nucleotides. RefSeq lists it as uncharacterized. Lineage: Eukaryota; Metazoa; Chordata; Actinopteri; Syngnathiformes; Syngnathidae. The record is from RefSeq and is a predicted model, not a curated record. The transcript is spliced from 4 exons.